GAUCAUGGCUCAGGAUGAACGCUGGCGGCGUGCCUAACACAUGCAAGUCGUACGAGCUCGAUCUUCGGAACGGGUUAGUGGCGCACGGGUGAGUAACACGUAGGUGACCUACCCCAGAGUGGGGGAUAACUUCUCGAAAGAGAGGCUAAUACCGCAUACACUCGGUCAUUCAUUUGGCCGAGCAAAGCUCUGGCGCUUUGGGACGGGCCUGCGUCCGAUUAGCUAGUUGGUAGGGUAAUGGCUUACCAAGGCUUUGAUCGGUAGCUGGUCUGAGAGGACGAUCAGCCACACUGGCACUGACACACGGGCCAGACUCCCACGGGAGGCAGCAGUGAGGAAUAUUGGGCAAUGGGCGAAAGCCUGACCCAGCAACGCCGCGUGAGGGAUGAAGGCCUUCGGGUUGUAAACCUCUUUUCUGGGAGAAGAGACAAGGACGGUAUCCCAGGAAUAAGUCUCGGCUAACUACGUG
This 469-nucleotide ribosomal RNA is filed under the name uncultured bacterium. Its description in RNAcentral is "bacterial SSU rRNA". It matches the Rfam family "Bacterial small subunit ribosomal RNA", at positions 15 to 507 of the family's 1533-position model. The record is from RNAcentral.